GCCCCGAUGGUGGAGAUGGCAGACACGACGGAUUCAAAAUCCGUUGCCGAAAGGCGUGAGGGUUCGAGUCCCUCUCGGGGCA
This 82-nucleotide transfer RNA is filed under the name Actinomycetota bacterium. RNAcentral describes it as "tRNA-Leu". It matches the Rfam family "tRNA". From Rfam's summary of the family: Transfer RNA (tRNA) molecules are approximately 80 nucleotides in length. The record is from RNAcentral. Lineage: Bacteria; Bacillati; Actinomycetota.